Molecule: long non-coding RNA, 6297 nt
Organism: Mercenaria mercenaria
Lineage: Eukaryota; Metazoa; Mollusca; Bivalvia; Venerida; Veneridae
Exons: 4
Source: RefSeq, a predicted model, not a curated record
UAUUCCUUUGGUGGUCCCUUUUCAGAUUCCAUCGAAUCUAGCUAAUCCAUGCUGAAUUCUGGUUGCCAUGGCUAAAUGGAAAAAUUUGAAAAUCAUCUCUUCAGAAUCAGCUGGGUCUAUUUGAAAAUAAUUUCACUGCAGUGUUCUUUGGGUGGCCGUGACCCUGUACCAAAUUCUUUCAAAUAUUUCUGUUUCCUUGAAAAACUAGGGGAUGGGGCUAGUUUUUUCUUUAUGGCAAUAUGGAAAACUUCAAAAUCUUCUAUGAAACUGCAGGCUAGAUUUGAAAAUAAUUUUACAGCAAUGUUCUUUGAGUGACCCUGUACCAAAUUCUUUCAAAUCAUUAUAUUUUCAUAAAUACACAUGAUCACUAGAGCGCGGCACUUGUUUUCCCUAUAUGGCUUUAUGGAAAACUGUGAAAAUCUUUUCCUGUCAAACUGCUGGUUCGAUUUCAGAAUAAUUUGACAGCAAUUUUUGACAGCAAUGUUCCCACUGUAACCCUAUACCAAAUUCCUUAAAGGUCAAUAAUGCUUUGAAUUUUUAUCUUAAAAACAGAUGAAACAACUUUCCAAAUAGAUGUUAUGAGUACUUACAUGGUUAGAAAAGCACAACUUUUUAUAUUGCACAUGAACUGUUAUAGUUAGAGCCAUAAAGGGAGGUAAUAGAAAACAAUAGAUUCAAUAAAACAUUCUAGUAUAUUCAGUAAUAUUCAAACCUUUGGUAGCCCGCCCGCUUAGCUCAGAAGGGAGAGCGUUGGUCUACAGAUCGCGGGGUCGCGAGUUCGAUCCCCGGGCGGGGCGUAUGUUCUCCGUGACGUCUUGAUAAAAGACAUUGUGUCCUCCACCUCUGAUAAUUCAUGUGGGGAAGUUGGCAGUUACUUGCGGAGAACAGGUUUGUACUGGUACAGAAUCCAGAAACACUGGUUAGGUUAACUGCCCGCCAUUACAUGACUGAAAUACUGUUGGAAAACGGCGUUAAAUCCAAAACAAACAAACAAAUCAAACCUUUGACAAAUGUUGAAGAAAGUAAUUAUCAGAAAUAGGAUUUAACAAGAAAUUAAUGUAUUUUAUGUUUAUAAUGGAAAAUGUGGCAGCCACAUUUUAAACAAAGGCAUUAUGAGCUUUUAAGGCCAUGUUCACUUGUUAAAAAAACAUGGCUGCCUAGGGAUGGGGCUAGUUUUCUCUGUAUGGCUGCAUGGAAAAUUUUAAAAAGUCUCCUCCUCUGAAGCUUCAAAAUGAUUUCACACAAAUGCUCCUUUGUUGACCUUCUACCAAUUUCCUUCAAGGUCUCACCCACAUUAGUCUGUGUUCAGACCCUGUGUUUUGUUCACAGGAGAUAACUCCUGAGCCUGUUUGAAUUUUGUAUGAUUAUGUCCCUUUUCUUCUCAAAACAAAACAAAGAUAAUCAGAGCUAAGAAAGGUCGGUCUGAAUAUAUACAAGUAAUGAAUGAAAAAAAUUAAAAAAGAUUACCCAGUGGCUAGCAAGAGUACCCUCCCUCCUUGUUUGACCAUCUACCAAAACUGUUCAAGCAAGCUGUGUGAUCUAAGGCCAUCAGCCCUCUUAAUCAGGAAAUGUUCCAAAAAGAAGAAAUAUCUAAUUGAUUCCUGGAGUAUUUUCUUGGCAUGUUACAUUUGACCAAUACAUUACCAGUGGAAUGCCAGAAGUGAGGAAUUAGCUUGAAAAAUAAAUAAAUGGUGAUUGGUUUCUUGAAGAAGACAUUGGUGUCUGUUUUUACACUCCGUUAAUGAUAAACUGGUUUAGUUUCCACCAUAAUGACCGUUGAGACCUCACCCAUGUGAUCCUGGACUCCAUGAUUUCUAAACAUUUCAAAACAUGCCAUUAGAGAGAUAGGGCUUCUUUUUGUUCCAUCAGAUAAGAAGGUGAUUCAGUUAAUGUAUUAAGCAGAACCACUACUUCCUAUAAUUUUUCUAGUUUUCCAUUAAAUGUUUUCCUCAAAAUGAACAAUUGCAUCAAGUGAGCUGUGUUGUUUUUUUUUUCACCAUAUACUACCAAAAGAUUGAAAGAUGAAAAAUCCUGGAAGGGUUUAGAUAAGUGUAAACCAAUUUCUGAGUUGAUCAAAAGAAGAAGAUGGACCUGGAUUGGCCAUGUCAACACACUGGAAACACCAGCAAUUCAGAAGGUCACCAUGAGAGGGAUACCAACAGGUAAAAGAAGCAGAGUGCGACCUAAGGAGACCUGGAGACGAUCAGUUGAAAAGCAGAUGAAAGACCUUGGAUGGACUUUGGGCCAGAUAAAACGAAUGUCAGCCGACAGUCAGAGAUGGCAUUCCUCGGUGAAGGCUUAAGUAAAAAGUUUGUGGCAAUAUAACCAGACAAUGACACAUCAGACAAGAAUCUGGUACACAACUACACUGUGAUUCCACCAAAUAUGUCGAAUGGCACAACUACAUUGUGUUUCCUCCAAAUAUGAUUGAAUGGCACAACUACAUUGUGUUUCUGCCAAAUAUGAUUAAAUGGCACAAAUACAUUGUGUUUCUGCCAAAUAUGAUUGAAUGGCACAACUACAUUGUGUUUCCACUAAACAUGGUUGAAUGGCAAAAUUACAAUGUGAUUCCACCAAACAUGGUUGAAUGGCACAUUCCACCAAACAUUAUUGCAUGACACAACUACACAGUGAUUCCACCAAAACAUGAUUGAAUGACACCAGUAACUGCCAAAUUACCAUAAGCCACUGAAAGAAUGAGACAUUAUUAUUGAACUGCAACCCAUAUUCCAUUACCAGACACUAAGUCAGAAUGUAUACGGCUGCUGCUCUCAGACUUUUCAGGAAAAAAUAAAAUGUGCAAAGAAAAGAAUAUCACUUACUGCAGGACUGGUGCGAAUGGCAGUAUCCAGAUCUUGGGUAAUGCUCGGUGUUUAAACUGGACAAAGCUUCAUUAUCACCUAAACGGUUACCAUGAAGCCGGAUAUUGCUGUCUUCAACUACAACGAGUGAAUGAUUCUGGUUAUACUUUUCUGGCUACUUCCACAUUAUUUCCACUUCACAGAUGCAGUCUUUGCCAUGUACUGAUAUAUAUCUUCAUAAUUCUCAUUUCUUAGGCCUGGAAAUGUCUCGGUACAUAUUUUCAUUGACUCUUCUUUUGUGGCUCUGUAUGCCAACUUUCAAAAUAAUUUUGCAGAAAUGUUUCUUGGGUGAUUAAGGGCCAUCAUGGCUAUCUUGUUUAUAACAUGAACUGUCAUGUGUAAUAAGGGCUGAAUAGGUGUCGAAAUUAGGGAGAUGAUGACAUUAUGGGACGGAAUGGGACAGGGUGGAUGAGAAUAGACAAGACAUGCAGGAUGAUAUUGGAUGGGACUGGACUGUACUGGACUGGACUGGACUGGAUGAGAAGAGGCAAGACAGGCAGGAUGAUAUUGAAUGGGGCUGGACUGGACUGGACUGGACUGGAUAAGAAGAGGCAAGCCAGGCAGGAUGAUAUUGGAUGGGACUGGAAUGGACUGGACUGGACUGGACAGGAUGGGACAGACUGGACUGGACAGGACUGGAUGAGAAGAGGCAAGCCAGGCAGGGUGAUAACAGUAAUUGCUUCGUUAUUCUUGGAGAUAACUAAUUACAUGAUGAUAAAACCAAAAAAUCAUUUGAUAAUCACCUUGUUGCUCAUGUCAGUAAAAAAAAGUUUGAAGGAUGACAGAAGUUCUACCAUUACCAUCAAUGUUUCUUGUUAUUAUUGUCUUGGAAGGAGUAUGUUUUAUUUUAUACAAUAAAAGAUACAUGCAUAUAUGAUUUUUUUAUGUAACCAGGUAAUUUAUCACUAAAGUAAGACCAAUACCAAAUAGAGAAUUAUUUUAUUUACAGUCUUACCUAACAAGUAUAAUUUAGGGGCCAGGUGGUAAAGGUGGCUGACUUUGAAUCACUUGUGGAUCACCAGUGUGGGUUUAAAUCUUGCUUUGGAUGUAGAACUAUUCAUGACUUAAAUUGUGUCAGCCUGACUCUAAAACACAAUAAAAAAAUCAAUAUAGGGCAAGUAUGUGGUUGACUUGCCAUGCAACUUUUAGAACUUGCUUUUUAUGGGCACUGUUUUAUGUUUGUGGUUACUUUUAUAUCUUUUGAUUAUUCAGAUUUACCUUCAAAUUGAUCAUUAAACAUUCAUUCACAUUAUCUCAGUAAAUUUGAUUUUAAAUUUUUUUACCCAUUGUUUAUUGGCACCAUGCUCUGAAGACUCAGUUCAUGUUGACUAGAGCUACUUCCUCUCUGUUUGAUCUUUCAAGUACGGUAGUUAUUUGCUAACCUUUACCCUGCUAAAUUUCUAAAAUGAACUGACCUAUCAUUCAAUUUGGGCAGUACCAUUCAUUAUUUGAAGGGGUGUUCACUGAAAAUUUACUGACCGAAGAGCGAACUGUGCGGACCAAGAUCAGCCUAUAUGCAGACAUGCAGGCUGAUCUUGGUCUGCAAUGGCCGCAAAGGCAAAAUCACUUGCUGCCAGCAAGCUAAAGGUUAAUAAAAUAACAAUCAAACUUUAACCUCCGUUUCAGGCAAGUCUAUUUUAAUUUUUCUUUUUUUACUGAUACAGUUUUAGCUCACCUAUCACAAAGUGACAAGGUGAGCUAUUGUGACCGCUUGAUGUCCGUCGUCCGUCGUGCAUCAACAAUUUCUAAAAAAAAUCUUCUUCUUGAAAACCACUGGGCAGACUUACACCAAACUUCACAGGAAUGAUCCUUGGGUGGCCCCCUUUCAAAAUUAUUCAAAGAAUUGAAUUCCAUGCAGAACUCAAAACUUUAAAAAUCUUCUUGUCCAAAACCACAGGGCCUAGGGCUUUAAUAUCUGGUGUGUAGCAUCAUCUAGUGGUCCUCUACCAAAAUUGUUCAAAUUAUCCCCCUAGGGUCAAAUAUGGCCCCGCCCCGGGGGUCACAUGGUUUAUAUAGACUUAUAUAGGAAAAAAAGUUUAAAAAUCUUCUUGUCUGAAACCACAACACUUAGACCUUUGAUAUUUGAUUUGUAGCAUUGUCUUAUGGUCCUCAACCAAAAUUGUUCAAAUUGUACCCCUUGGGUGAAAAGAGGCCCUGCCCUGAGGGUCCCAAGUUUUAUAUAGACUUAUAUUGCAAAAAGCUUUAAAAAUCUUCUUGUCUGAAACCAUAUGACCUAGGCUUUUGAUAUUUGGUAUGAUGCAUUGUCUAGUAGUCCUCUACCAAAAUUAUUCAAAUUAUGCCCCUGGGGUUAAAAGAGGCCCCGCCCUGGGGUCACUUAGUUAUUAUGUGAGUUAUAUAGGAAAAAUACUUAAAAAAAUUAUCUGAUCCUAUUUCCAAGACUGUUUAAUUAUAAUUACCUGAUGACCGCAAGUAAUAUGUUGUCACUUGACUGUGACCUUGACUUACUGACCUACUUUCUUGUUUUUUAAGAGACAGCCUUGAAAUUUUGAUGACAUACACAGUUUUGCACACAAAUUGUAAAACUGAAUUUCAUUGACCAUGAAUGUGACCUACUGACUUUCUUAAUAUUUUAUCAUCAGUUUGACAUUUGAAACAUGUAGCUCAUAUUACUCAGGUGAGCGAUCCAGGGUCAUCACGGCCCUCUUGUUUGCAGUACUGUUCGUUACUGUUACAUACUACUGGAUACUAAACACUAGUCUCAAAAAGUUGUCCCCCCUUAAAUAAAAAAGUUUGUCAUUGUAAAGAAAUGAAAAUAAACAGUUUUCAGUAUAGCUAGAAAACCAUGCAGAAUCUAGUUAUGUGAAAUUUCAGUAUUUGGACAUACAAAGGUAUUAACAGUUCUUUGUAAAUGGUGAAUUUUAAAAGGUGUUGAACUGUCUGGAAGUGUGCCCACUUCAUUGCAGUUCUUUUCUGGAAUUCAAGGAAAAUACCAGUAGAUUGACAAUCAUUCCGUAGAAUAAUCUAUAUAUUUUAAAAAUUAUGCUAUUCAAUUUUCUUGUAAAACAAUUCUGCUAUAAAUUGGUGAUGCACAAAUUUCUUUUUAAAACAGUUAACAUUGUGCCAUGUCAUUGUUUAUUCCUAGUCAAGUACUUAUGUGAUUUUCAUUUGCUACUUUUUCUUUUAAUCCUUUUUGAUUCUUCUUAUAUUUUUAAAGCAAAAACCUGUCAAUAAACUUAAACUGAAAAUGAGGAAGGAGUUAUGUAUAUUGCCAUACUUGGAAGUCCUAGUCAAUAAAUCCUGCUUUGAACAUUUGUCAUUUGUGUCCUGCUUCCCAACAUAAGGAAAUUUAAAGAUUUACUAUUGUUGGUUGGCUACCAAAUUGAUUUUGGACCUUGCACGCAACAUUUGUUAUGAUGCGCUAAAUCCAGGAGAUAUAAUUAAGGAUACUAUUAAGAAAGCUCUUAAACUUUUCAAA